CCUAUUGCCAGUACUUGUUGUCGACUCCAGUGUUCGAAUUUUAGGCUUUUUUUGUGGUGUAAUGAUAAUUUGAGAGGCACUAUCAAAGGGAGGCAUGUGAAGAGGCUUUUAACUUUUAUUAACUACGGUUGUAAGCUGUGAAAAGCACAAAUUUGAAAACAAUGAAUAAAUAAUGGAGAAAUGUGCUUCAAUUAUGGUUUAUAAAUGUAUCAGUCAAGUGAUUCAGUGUUAGUGACCACCACCACCCACCCACCCACCCACCACCAUGUAGUGGGGGUGGCUAGGGUUCGGUCGAGCAGUCUGCCCUGAUACUCUGUGACGUGAAGAGCUGCGUGUCCUGCUACUCUCAUCCUGUCGGUACGUUUGCUAUUGUCUCAUUGGUGUGGUGACUGUGACCUGCCCUGACCUGCCUGUGACCUGCCCUGACCUGCCUGUGACCUGCCCUGACCUGCCCUGACCUGCCUGUGACCUGCUUUUGACCUGCCUUGACUUCCUCUGACACACAUGGUGACCCGAGACCUGCCAAGACCUUCCCAGGACCUUCCCAAGACCUUCCAAGACCCACAAUGACCCACAGAUGAAGAU
Molecule: long non-coding RNA, 585 nt
Organism: Scylla paramamosain (green mud crab)
Lineage: Eukaryota; Metazoa; Arthropoda; Malacostraca; Decapoda; Portunidae
Exons: 3
Source: RefSeq, a predicted model, not a curated record